UAAUACACUGUCUAAAAACGUGGCUUUGCCCAGCAGGUUAGUUCAUUUCUUUCUGAUUGGCCCUUGUCCUUCUUAUUCCCGCCUCUGCAGGUAUACUGAGAAUUAUGAUUGGAUGAAGGGGUGGAGUUUAGAGCUGCAGAUCGGUGUGAGAGUUUAGUUAACGAUGUGACUGGGAGGAAUUCAUGGACCAGUUGGGACUUACCUCGGACGGGCUUUGGAGUAUCGUUGCUAUGGCGAUAAAGGAUCGGUUCGGUAGAGGAGGGACUACAGAAAGAUCUACAGCUUCAGAGGAGGGAAUUUGGUGUUCCAGCCGCCUGGGAAGCCGUUCAGCCGACCAGAGUCCGCUCUUCCAGAACCAGAACCCAUGCAGGUGGAUCCUACUGGUCUCUCACUGUCAGAGCGUCAUGGAAGACUUACUCUAGGAUCGUGUCUAUACUGUGGAGCAUCGGGGCAUACCAUCAUCUCAUGCCCCAUUCGCCCACCACCACCACCACACCUGUUUGUCUGGCACAUCCUUCUCUACCUUUUCACACAAAUGGACACUGAGCUGCUCACUAGGGAGGAAUCCCGUCUGAAAGUUACCACUUACUUACUUGUUCCCCUCCCUACAAGCUUGUUUAAAUCCUGUUUGUAUUCAUUGUGCCCUGCUGUUCUCAGUAUUGUAAAUGAUUCCCUGCAUACUGGUGUUGUGCCAGCAGCAUUGACUGGUGACUGGUUUUGUCUGUACGGGUGUUCCUCAGGGUUCCAUCUUAGGCCCCUUACUUUUUAGCAUGUACAUAUUUCCACUUGGAUUGCUUUUAAGAUCACUUGGGCUUAAUUAGCACUUUUAUGCAGACCACACUCAGAUUUAUAUUCACUUUAAGCCUAAUCAAAAUUUAGACCUUUCUUUUUUAACACGCUGUAUUGCUGAGAUAAAAAUGUGGGUGUCUCAAAAUUGUUUGUGCCUCAAUGCUGAUAAGACAGAGCUUGUCUUGCUUAUUGGUCGUCCCUCACCAGCUUCACAAAGCUGGUUCACUGUUUCUAAAUGUAGAUGGCUCUGUUCUGGAAGUACAAACCAAAUGAAAAAAUAAUCUUGGAUUCAAGUUUGUCUUUUGACCCUCACGUUCGGCACAUUGUAAAGAACUCAUUAUUUCAUCUCAGAAAUAUUGCUAGACUUCACCCUAUGUUAUCUCACUCAGUGACUGAAAGGCUUAUUAAGACUUUUGUGUUCUCCCGCUGUGACUAAAUCCACACAUAAUAAACUGCAAUGUGUGCAAAAUUCAGCUGCUAGGAUCCUGACUGGGGUCAGGCAAAAUGAGCACAUUACACCAAUUCUCAAGUCCUUGCUGAUAAAAAUAAAACUAAUAGAAAAUCUAUAAAUUACAUAGAAAUUUCUAUACUUCUGCACAAAUAAAGACGGACUUACUUUAUCUGGCUGUUGCACUUGCUGAUGCAUCGCUGCCGGCUGUGCCGCAUCCACCGCCUGCUUCACCGCAUUGGGAAGUAACUCCUCGAGUGCUCCCCUUACCGUUUCCCGGCAGUUGCAGACGGGUGGAAGCUGCUGCCCAGUUUGGUCGGAGACCACCCUUCUACGCCGAACCGGACUAAUUGGGCGAGGGGAUGUCAUCGUGAACUGUAAGAGAAUGAGUAACACCCACCUAGCGGCUGCUCUAUUUAUAAGCUGACAUUAUAAUUACGCACAAAUCAGAUGUGUGUUAUUGGUCAUUUCCCUCUUCCUCCUGCUCCUCCUACACACUUAUUGGCUAAAAUCUUUGUGACAGAAGAACCGAUCCGAAACACGCCGUAGAAUUCCAGCCUCAGUCCGUCAUUCUGUUCUACACCACAUAAUUAUUAUUAUUAUUAAAUAAUAAUGAAUGAAGACAUGAGACACAGAAGACAUGUUUGUGUUCUGUUUAUUUUAAUAGUUUUAAUAGUUAAAUUGUUCAUUGUUGCACACGGAAAAUCUGCCAACUCAAAAAGGACAAAGAAAUAAUUGACCUUGAAAAAGUCUGAAGCUUAUUUAAAGACUGGAACACAACUGACUGGAACACAUUGUCAUCUGUCCUUUUUGUGUUGGUAAAUCUGACAAACAUGUCUUCUGUGUCUCAUGUCUUCAUUUAUGUCUGUGUUGGUACCUGAAUCUGUAGCUGUUUACUGCUCCACAUAUUCAUAUUUGUAUCUGUAUGUAUAAAGUCUGAUUUAAACCAUG
Tachysurus fulvidraco (yellow catfish) is the source of this 2188-nucleotide RNA transcript. RefSeq lists it as uncharacterized. Lineage: Eukaryota; Metazoa; Chordata; Actinopteri; Siluriformes; Bagridae. The record is from RefSeq and is a predicted model, not a curated record. The transcript is spliced from 4 exons.